This 774-nucleotide ribosomal RNA is filed under the name uncultured Neocallimastigales. Its description in RNAcentral is "partial large subunit ribosomal RNA". It matches the Rfam family "Eukaryotic large subunit ribosomal RNA", at positions 24 to 649 of the family's 3401-position model. Lineage: Eukaryota; Fungi; Neocallimastigomycota; Neocallimastigomycetes; Neocallimastigales. The record is from RNAcentral.
UAUGUGAUCGUCUCUCGCAUAUCAAUAAGCGGAGGAAAAGAAACUAACAAGGAUUCCCCUAGUAACGGCGAGUGAAGCGGGAAGAGCUCAAAUUUGAAAUCUUAAAGGGUUUCCCUUUACGAAUUGUAGUUUAAAGAAGUGUUUUCUGUUGAGGUUUUGGUAAAAGUUCUUUGGAAUAGGACAUCAUAGAGGGUGAGAAUCCCGUAUUUGACCUUUACUUUCAACUUUGUGAUACACUUUCAAAGAGUCGGAUUGUUUGGGAAUGCAGUCCAAAAUGGGUGGUAAAUUUCAUCUAAAGCUAAAUAUUGGCGAGAGACCGAUAGCGAACAAGUACCGUGAGGGAAAGAUGAAAAGAACUUUGAAAAGAGAGUUAAACAGUACGUGAAAUUGUCAAAAGGGAAGCGUUUGACACCAGUGUUGUUUUUCUGAAAAUCAAUUAAAGAACUGUUUAUGCUAAGUUGUUUAGACUUUAUCAGCUAUCUGUUUAGUUUUGAGCUUUUCUUUAAUGCACUUUUCAGUUAACAAGUCAACAUCAAUUUCUUUUGCUGUAAAAAAGCUUGAGGAAGGUGGCUUGAGAUUCGUCUUAAGUGUUUAUAGCCUCUUGCCUAUGCAGUCGGAGAGAUUGAGGUCUGCAGCGUAGAUCCUUCGGGGCUAAAUGCAUUUGUGCUAAGCUAUAGCAUUUUAUAGACAACUUGUUGACUAUGAUUUGUCUUGUAGCUUACUCGCUUAUGUUAUUUUACCUACGCUUAGGAUGUUGAGUAGCGACAUACGCAC